RNAcentral lists this ribosomal RNA (253 nucleotides) under uncultured bacterium. RNAcentral describes it as "partial 16S ribosomal RNA". It matches the Rfam family "Bacterial small subunit ribosomal RNA", at positions 524 to 776 of the family's 1533-position model. The record is from RNAcentral.
UACAGAGGUCGCAAGCGUUGUCCGGAUUCACUGGGCGUAAAGGGUGCGUAGGCGGCGUUGUAAGUCGGGUGUGAAAUUUCGGAGCUUAACUCCGAGACUGCAUUCGAUACUGCGGUGCUUGAGGACUGGAGAGGAGACUGGAAUUCAUGGUGUAGCAGUGAAAUGCGUAGAUAUCAGGAGGAACACCGGUGGCGAAGGCGGCUCUCUGGGCCGAUACUGACGCUGAGGAGCGAAAGCGUGGGGAGCGAACAGG